UGGGGAAUAUUGCACAAUGGGGGGAACCCUGACGCAGCAACGCCGCGUGAAGGAAGAAGGUUUUCGGAUUGUAAACUUCUUUGAUGAGGGACGAAGUAAGUGACGGUACCUCAAAAACAAGCCACGGCUAACUACGUGCCAGCAGCCGCGGUAAUACGUAGGUGGCGAGCGUUGUCCGGAAUUACUGGGUGUAAAGGGCGCGUAGGCGGGGAUGCAAGUCAGAUGUGAAAUACCGGAGCUUAACACCGGGGCUGCAACUGAAACUGCAUUUCUUGAGUGUCGGAGAGGGAAGUGGAAUUCCCAGUGUAGCGGUGAAAUGCGUAGAUAUUGGGAGGAACACCAGUGGCGAAGGCGACUUUCUGGACGACAACUGACGCUGAGGCGCGAAAGCGUGGGGAGCAAACAGG
This 407-nucleotide ribosomal RNA is filed under the name uncultured prokaryote. RNAcentral describes it as "bacterial SSU rRNA". It matches the Rfam family "Bacterial small subunit ribosomal RNA", at positions 355 to 776 of the family's 1533-position model. The record is from RNAcentral. RNAcentral also lists the same sequence under 1 other name.